This is a long non-coding RNA of Nyctereutes procyonoides (raccoon dog), 289 nucleotides long. RefSeq lists it as uncharacterized. The transcript is spliced from 3 exons. The record is from RefSeq and is a predicted model, not a curated record. Lineage: Eukaryota; Metazoa; Chordata; Mammalia; Carnivora; Canidae.
UGACCUUAGGGCAAUUGGUCUUUUCUUCCUGGAAGUUUUCCUUCAUAUUUCCACAUGGCUGACUUCUUUACUCAGAAGCUGCCUUCUCUUCACUCAGCAUAACACCCUCCAGUUCCAUCCAUGUUGAAGCAAAAUGAUAUAAGCUGCACAGGGCCAGCGAUCUCUCUUUGGUUCAUUGAUAGAACUCCAAUACCUCCCUGGAACACUGCUUGGUGACGUGUGCUCUCCAAAUGGAAAAAUACAGUUCUGUUUUUCCCUUUCGUGAAACUGGCCCAAAGUGUGAACAAAC